UAACGACUGAAGCCUCCUUCAUCGUACCUUUCGUCUUCCUCAAGUCCUCUUCUGUUACUCUGCCAUUGAAGCCGCCAUAAAUAGUCUCUGCCGGUAGCGAAGCUCUAAUCGACCCCAAAACUCUACCCUAAAGUCCUAUCCUCACCCCCAUUCCAUUCCCACCAUUAUUUUCUCCCAAAACCCAGCAUAAACUCUAGAAUUUCAAAUCUGAAGAUGGGUGAAAAACCGUAGUCCGCCCCAAACUUACAAAAUCUAUAUAAAAGGGUCCUCAGACCUCCUCUCCCAUAAACAUAUGCUCAAAACCUCUCAAAACUCUCUGAAUUUCAUUGAAUGGGAAAGCUAGGGUUCAUCAGUUUUUGAGCUUUUCUUUGAAGAUUUGAAGUCGAGUCGAAUUCCCUACUAGUGUUUGAAUGGGCAAAUAACAUUAACAGGGUGUCGAAUCCGUU
RNAcentral lists this long non-coding RNA (446 nucleotides) under Nicotiana benthamiana. RNAcentral's name for it is "long non-coding RNA (NBEN_LNC006430)". The record is from RNAcentral. Lineage: Eukaryota; Viridiplantae; Streptophyta; Magnoliopsida; Solanales; Solanaceae.